Molecule: ribosomal RNA, 239 nt
Filed under: uncultured bacterium
Lineage: Bacteria
Description: partial 16S ribosomal RNA
Rfam family: Bacterial small subunit ribosomal RNA
Source: RNAcentral
CGAAUGAGUUUAUACUCAUGGCAGACGAGGUAGGAACACGUAGGUACAUACCCCAAAGUCAGGGAUAAUCCGUCGAAAGGCGGGAUAAUACUUGAUAGUCACUUCGGUGUAAAGAUUUAUCGCUUUGGGAAUGGCCUGCGUUCUAUCAGCUUGUUGGUAAGGUAACGGCUUACCAAGGCUACGACGGAUAGGGGAGGUGAGAGCCUGACCCCCACCGAUGGAACUGCGACACGGUCCAU